Molecule: ribosomal RNA, 801 nt
Filed under: uncultured bacterium
Lineage: Bacteria
Description: bacterial SSU rRNA
Rfam family: Bacterial small subunit ribosomal RNA
Source: RNAcentral
UGCUCCACCGAAAGAAAAGGAGUGGCGAACGGGUGAGUAACACGUGGGUAACCUGCCCAUCAGAAGGGGAUAACACUUGGAAACAGGUGCUAAUACCGUAUAACAAUCGAAACCGCAUGGUUUCGGUUUGAAAGGCGCUUUUGCGUCACUGAUGGAUGGACCCGCGGUGCAUUAGCUAGUUGGUGAGGUAACGGCUCACCAAGGCAACGAUGCAUAGCCGACCUGAGAGGGUGAUCGGCCACAUUGGGACUGAGACACGGCCCAAACUCCUACGGGAGGCAGCAGUAGGGAAUCUUCGGCAAUGGACGCAAGUCUGACCGAGCAACGCCGCGUGAGUGAAGAAGGUUUUCGGAUCGUAAAACUCUGUUGUUAGAGAAGAACAAGGAUGAGAGUAGAAUGUUCAUCCCUUGACGGUAUCUAACCAGAAAGCCACGGCUAACUACGUGCCAGCAGCCGCGGUAAUACGUAGGUGGCAAGCGUUGUCCGGAUUUAUUGGGCGUAAAGCGAGCGCAGGCGGUUUCUUAAGUCUGAUGUGAAAGCCCCCGGCUCAACCGGGGAGGGUCAUUGGAAACUGGGAAACUUGAGUGCAGAAGAGGAGAGUGGAAUUCCAUGUGUAGCGGUGAAAUGCGUAGAUAUAUGGAGGAACACCAGUGGCGAAGGCGGCUCUCUGGUCUGUAACUGACGCUGAGGCUCGAAAGCGUGGGGAGCAAACAGGAUUAGAUACCCUGGUAGUCCACGCCGUAAACGAUGAGUGCUAAGUGUUGGAGGGUUUCCGCCCUUCAGUGCUGCAGCUAACGCAUU